CUCUCUCCCUCCCUCCCUCCCUCUCUCUUUCUCUCUCUCUCGCUCGUAUCGAGAAAAUCUCGUCCAACGAGUUGGUCCAGUUAAUCAAGAGUGUUCUAUCGAUGGACACGCGGAACGCUGGCCGUUAACUCGGUUCGCCAGGAUGAAAGUCGGAAAAGAAAGAGGAGGCGAGAAACCGCAACGCGUUCUCCCAUUGUUGAACCCGGCCUAGAUCGAUCUCUUAGAGACACGCACCACAGAUCGAACACAUGCUCCAGUGUCGACGGAUAACACAUUUAACACCUUUCUCGGGUUGGGCGGUGGCGGCUUGGUUCAGCAUUUGAAGAAGAGCUACAGCCUGAGCGACCUGACCGGCGAGAAAGAGGACG
Apis florea (little honeybee) is the source of this 368-nucleotide long non-coding RNA. The record is from RefSeq and is a predicted model, not a curated record. Lineage: Eukaryota; Metazoa; Arthropoda; Insecta; Hymenoptera; Apidae.